Molecule: long non-coding RNA, 3583 nt
Organism: Passer domesticus (house sparrow)
Lineage: Eukaryota; Metazoa; Chordata; Aves; Passeriformes; Passeridae
Exons: 3
Source: RefSeq, a predicted model, not a curated record
UGUAUGACUAUGAUUCUAUAACUCAAUGACUCUGUGAUUAUAUGACUCUAUGAUUAUAUGACUCUAUAAAUCCAUGAUUCCAUGAUUAUAUGACUCUGUGAUUUUAUGGUUCCAUGAUUUUUUGACUCUGUGAUUUUAUGAUUCUGUGUGAGAUGCCAGCAAGUUUCUGAGGAUCUCUGUUAGGGCAGGCUAUAUUUAAAAUCAUUUUGUAUUUGUAAUGAUUUUAAAGUCAUUAUAUUCUUAUCAAAAUCCCACAUGCCUAUGUUCACUGGCAAGGAACUGAUAAUUAGUGAAAGAAAGCAUGCCUGGACAGGAGGAACCCUGUGCAGAGCCCUGUGCAGAGUCUACUUAUUAUUGAUGUACUGACAGAAUUGCCCUGAAGAAUUUCUAAAAGUUGUGAUCAUCAAAUCACAGAAUCACAGAGUCAUGGAAUCAUGGAAUGGCCUGAGUUGAGGGGGACUUAAAGUUCCAUCCACUUCUAACCCCUGCCAUGAGCAGGGGCAACUUCCACUAUCCCAGUGUGUUCCAAGCCCCGUCCCACCUGGCCUUGGACACUCCCAGGGAUCCAGGGGCAGACACAGCUUCUCUGGGCACCUUGUGCCAAGGCCUCAGAACCCUCACAGGGAAGAAUUUCUUCUCAAUAUCCAGUCUAAAUCUUCUCUUUGUCAGUUUAAAGCCACUCCACCUUGUCGUGUCAUUCCAUGCUCUUGUAAACUGUCUCUCUCCCUCCUCCUUUCAGUCUCCCUUUAGGCAUUGGAAGGCCACAACGAGGUCACCCCAAAGCUUCUCUUUUUACAGAAUUCCCAGAAUGACCAGGUUGGAAGAGACCUUCAAGACCAUCGAGUCCAACCCAGCCCCAACAGCUCAACUCAACCCUGGCACCCAGUGCCACAUCCAGGCUUUGUUAAACACACCCAGGGAUGGGGACUGCACCACCUCCCCGGGCAGCCAUUCCAGAACUUUAUCACUCUUUCUGUGAAAAACUUUUUCCUGAUAUCCAGCCUGUAUUUCCCUUGGUGCAGCUGCAGGCUGUGUGCUCUGGUUGUGCCAGUGCUGCUGCAGAAAGAGCCCAGCCCAGCUGAGCACAGGCACCUUUCAGGAGCUGUGCAGAGUGAUGAGGGCAGCCCUGAGUCUCCUUUUCUCCAGGCUGUGCACCCCCAGCUCCAUUUUUCCAGCCUGAGCAAUCCCAAUUCCCUCAGCCUUUCCUCCCAGCAGAGCUGCUCUCAUCAUCCUGGUGCCCCCUCUGGACUGGCUCCAGCAGCUCCAGCUCCUUCCUGUGCUGGAGAGCCCAGAGAGCUGAUUGCACACACUGCAUCCACAUGGGAAUACAAGUAAGGGUGAUGAAUUUACUGCUCUUACAGAGCACUGAUCCUGCUUCUUGCCUCUGGGAUAAAUGCUGCAUCCCUGAGGAGCUGAUGGCUGGCUCAGCCUUGCUGCACACAUGAAUAAUGCUCUUUCCAAGGAGAAACAUGAUGGGAAUCAUUAAUUCAGAAAGAGCUGCUGAUUCCAGCCUCUCCAGCACUACACCUGGAGUGUAUCUAUCAUCCCAAAGGGAAUCUCCAUCAGAGCAGACUGGUCUUUGAGGAGGACAGGAGCCUGCAUCACUGAGCUGACCUUAUUUCAUGCUGCUGUUGACUCACAAGAAGGAACUGCAGCACAGAGAUCUUCAGUGUCCAAGCAGAAAGGUUAAAGGGAAACAAUGGACUGCAGAUUUGACAAUGGAAUUGAAAUGUAGCAGCUGAAAGGAAAACAUGUAGUUAGAUGCUGAGGCACAGACAAGAAAAAUAUAUUAGGUUGGAAAGAGAUACAGGGUAGAUUGAGAAAUUCAGUGCAGUGAAAGCCAGCACUAAAAAGAACAAAUUUCAGAAGCAAACAUAAUGUAGCCAUACCAGCAUUGCAGAUGAAUCAUGGAAUAAUUUGGAUUAUGGAAGUUCACUUUUGCCUGAAGUUUAUCCAAAUUUGUAAAUCUCUGAAUUCAACCUCUUCUUCUUAGCUUGAAAAAUUGUUUAUCCAUCAAGUGUUUGUACAGCAUGUGGACUUUGCUAAUGGCUUAUUUUUGGUCUGGACAACUUUUUGAUCCCCUUUACAUUUCCAAAAUGAAACUCAACACUGGGUGAAAAUCAAAUUUCUCUCUUUCUUUCUGAUUUUUCAGAGACUUGUCUCCAUAGUUUUUCAUUUAUGUCAGUGACUUUAUGAAUUGAGUGGGUUUUUUACUGCUGAAUCUUUGUUUCAAGCUUAAAGAACCUCCAGGAUGUUGGCAUUUGAGAUUCUUGAGGGGAAAAUAAAGGAUCAGAAAUGGCAUAGAAGUAAAAGAAGUUGAAAAAACAUAUUGUAGGGAAUUGUAUUUAUGGGAGGGCAAAUAUAAGUGAAUUUCCCAUGUGAAUAUAUGAUUUUUAAAGAAAUGCAAAUUUCAGCAAGUAUUUAAGCCCUCUACACCAAGCUCUUUCAUUCUGGGGCUCACAAGUGAUGUGAGUUUUCAAAUUUUUCUCCUGAAUUUUCCUGGAGUAUUCUGGGAAUAUUUAGGCUAGGUAAGAGGUUGCUAUUCAAGACCAUUAUCUCCAAGAAGCACCUCCCACAAUUUCUCAUUUUAUCCAGAAACAGAAUAAAUUCUGUGUUUGGAGGCAGGACUGAAUUAAAUGACACAUCCACAAGAAUUGUGCAGAUUUUCUACACUGUAAGUGUUCUUUUAAUCACCAAAGCAGACAGAUUUAAGGCAGAUUUCUAUGCUGGGUGCUCCACAGGAGGCCAGAGGAGGGAGUGACACACUCACAGAGGAAGAACCUUUUUGGAAAUCAGUUAAUCACAAAAAAGACUUUGGGUUUGGUGCAGAUUCACCCACUGAUUCCAUACAUGGAAUUUAUGAAAAGGGGUUAGAGUUAUGGUAUAUUAGCAGGUAAAUUUCACUGGGUGUUGCUUUUUGUCCCUCACUCACACCUCCCACAUGCCCAAACCCCUGAACCCUCCACACCCUGUAAGGAGAAAUCCCCAAAGGUAACAGGAAUGUUCCUGGUUUUGUCUUGCUGAUAUUUCUGAGAGAAUGAAGAGGAUCCCUGGGAGCAGAUCAGCUGCUCCAUCUCUGCAGCUGAACAGCACAGCUGGCGUUGAGAUGUUGCCCUCACCAAAGCACACAGCUUCCAUGGAUCAUCUGAGCUCACAAAUGCCAGGGGCUUUGCACAGCCAUCCCUGCCAUCCCUGAGUGAGCCUCUCCAUCAGGACAACCUCUUGAGCAAAAUCAAUAUGUCAGUGCUUUUACUUAAUGCAAGAUAGAUAUCAGGAGGAGUGACGGGUUGUGAGAUGUGGCACCUCCAGGAGUUACAGAUUGUCACCUGUGCUUCACAGUGUAUAAAUGGCCUUUUGUUAAACACCAAGCUCUGGAUGCUGACUCUGCCUCCAGUUCUGGAGUCCCCAGUACAUGAAAGAUAUGGAACUGUCUGAGCAGAGCCUGAAAAGGGCCACAAAGAUGCUCAGAGAGCUGGAGCACCUCUGCUAUGAUAAGAGACUGAGAGAAUUGCUCAUCCUGAAAAAAGGAAGGCUCUGGGGAAACUUUAUUCCAGAUACUCAAUAAAUGAAGGGCAUUCUGCUA